This 30-nucleotide non-coding RNA is filed under the name Rattus norvegicus (Norway rat). Lineage: Eukaryota; Metazoa; Chordata; Mammalia; Rodentia; Muridae. The record is from RNAcentral.
UUCAGAGAGGAACAGGAAAUCACCGAUAUC